GAGGAAUUUUGCGCAAUGGCCGCAAGGCUGACGCAGCAACGCCGCGUGGGUGAAGAAGGCCUUCGGGUCGUAAAGCCCUGUCAGGUGGGAAGAAACGCCUUUGGUCGAAUAGACUGGGGAAUUGACGGUACCACCAGAGGAAGCACCGGCUAACUCCGUGCCAGCAGCCGCGGUAAUACGGAGGGUGCGAGCGUUAUUCGGAAUUACUGGGCGUAAAGCGCGUGCAGGCGGUUUGACAAGUCUGAUGUGAAAGCCCCGGGCUUAACCUGGGAAGUGCAUUGGAAACUGUUGGACUUGAGUACUGGAGAGGAAGGGGGAAUUCCCGGUGUAGAGGUGAAAUUCGUAGAGAUCGGGAGGAAUACCAGUGGCGAAGGCGCCCUUCUGGACGGCUACUGACGCUGAGACGCGAAAGCGUGGGGAGCAAAC
This 426-nucleotide ribosomal RNA is filed under the name uncultured bacterium. RNAcentral describes it as "bacterial SSU rRNA". It matches the Rfam family "Bacterial small subunit ribosomal RNA", at positions 356 to 773 of the family's 1533-position model. The record is from RNAcentral.